GACGAACGCUGGCGGCGUGCUUAACACAUGCAAGUCGAACGGAAAGGCCCUGCUUUUGUGGGGUGCUCGAGUGGCGAACGGGUGAGUAACACGUGAGUAACCUGCCCUUGACUUUGGGAUAACUUCAGGAAACUGGGGCUAAUACCGGAUAGGAGCUCCUGCUGCAUGGUGGGGGUUGGAAAGUUUCGGCGGUUGGGGAUGGACUCGCGGCUUAUCAGCUUGUUGGUGGGGUAGUGGCUUACCAAGGCUUUGACGGGUAGCCGGCCUGAGAGGGUGACCGGCCACAUUGGGACUGGGAUACGGCCCAGACUCCUACGGGAGGCAACAGUGGGGAAUAUUGCACAAUGGGCGGAAGCCUGAUGCAGCAACGCCGCGUGCGGGAUGACGGCCUUCGGGUUGUAAACCGCUUUCGCCUGUGACGAAGCGUGAGUGACGGUAAUGGGUAAAGAAGCACCGGCUAACUACGU
This 467-nucleotide ribosomal RNA is filed under the name uncultured bacterium. Its description in RNAcentral is "partial 16S ribosomal RNA". It matches the Rfam family "Bacterial small subunit ribosomal RNA", at positions 28 to 506 of the family's 1533-position model. The record is from RNAcentral.